UAGUUAUGUUCUUAAAACCUAAAGAAUUUGGCGGUGUUGUAGUCUAUUUAGAGGAAUUUGUCCCUUAAUCGAUAGUCCUCGUUCUAUCUUACUUUAUUUUGUAGUUCAGUAUGUAUAUCGCCGUUAUAGGUUUAUAUUAUUAGGUUUAAAUUUACUUAUUAUUUUAUUAGAUUUUAUUUCAGGUCAAGGUGCAGCUUAUAGUGGAGUGGAGAUGAAUUACAAUAUAUAUNUUUAUAUGCGGAUUUAUGGUUGAAAUAAUUAUAAUGAAGGGGGAUUUAAUUGUAAUUUAAUUAAUAGUGAUUUUUUGAUAUUANCUCUAAAAUAAGCACACAUCGCCCG
RNAcentral lists this ribosomal RNA (339 nucleotides) under Bactrododema sp. SB0406. RNAcentral describes it as "partial small subunit ribosomal RNA". The record is from RNAcentral. Lineage: Eukaryota; Metazoa; Arthropoda; Insecta; Phasmatodea; Diapheromeridae.